Molecule: ribosomal RNA, 253 nt
Filed under: uncultured bacterium
Lineage: Bacteria
Description: partial 16S ribosomal RNA
Rfam family: Bacterial small subunit ribosomal RNA
Source: RNAcentral
CACGGGGGGAGCAAGCGUUGUUCGGAAUCACUGGGCGUAAAGGGCACGUAGACGGUCCAAAAAGCUCUGCCUGAAAUCCUCUCGCUCAACGAGAGAUUGCGGUGGAGGACUGCUGGACUUGAGAAUUGGAGAGGCGAGCGGAAUUCCCGGUGUAAGGGUGACAUCUGUAGAUAUCGGGAGGAACACCAGUGGCGAAAGCGGCUCGCUGGCCAAUUACUGACGCUGAGGUGCGAAAGCUAGGGGAGCAAACAGG